Molecule: small nucleolar RNA, 132 nt
Organism: Acomys russatus (golden spiny mouse)
Lineage: Eukaryota; Metazoa; Chordata; Mammalia; Rodentia; Muridae
Product: small nucleolar RNA SNORA44
Exons: 1
Source: RefSeq, a predicted model, not a curated record
AAGCAUGUUUCCAAGGCAUUUGGCUGGGUUAGAGUCAUGGGAUCUCCAAUUACAUCACAGAAUAACAUGGAGACACUCUGACAGCUCAGGUUAGCACAGUACCUGUGGCUGCUACUCAUCUCUCUUAAAGAG